RNAcentral lists this transfer RNA (86 nucleotides) under Puniceicoccales bacterium. RNAcentral's name for it is "tRNA-Leu". It matches the Rfam family "tRNA". Rfam says of the family: Transfer RNA (tRNA) molecules are approximately 80 nucleotides in length. Their secondary structure includes four short double-helical elements and three loops (D, anti-codon, and T loops). Lineage: Bacteria; Pseudomonadati; Verrucomicrobiota; Opitutia; Puniceicoccales. The record is from RNAcentral.
GCCCGGGUGGCGGAACGGUAGACUCAGAGGACUUAAAAUCCUCUGACCGCAAGGUCGUAGGAGUUCGAGUCUCCUCCCGGGCACCA